RNAcentral lists this long non-coding RNA (1759 nucleotides) under Lactuca sativa (garden lettuce). RNAcentral's name for it is "long non-coding RNA (LSAT_LNC008916)". Lineage: Eukaryota; Viridiplantae; Streptophyta; Magnoliopsida; Asterales; Asteraceae. The record is from RNAcentral.
GUAUGAGCAUUAUAUACAUAUAUUAAAACCCAAUGCAUCUGACAACAGUAAACUUCCGGCUUUUCAGAAUUUCGCCACAUCACUUUAACAAAAUUAUUGUUUACAUCCUUCUAAGUUUAACAUCGACAUCAGUUUGUAACCAUCCACAUCACUUUGUAAAUUCCUCCGCCCCUUUCUUCUUCAUUCGUCUCCCCUACUAUCUUCCUUUCUUCUUCAUUCGUCUCCCACUGUUCCUUUGAUUCUCCCGACGACUUCAUCCAAAAAUAUAGGAUUUCGAUUUCUCUCACCAAAAACUUUUGCGCUCUAUUUCCGCCACCAAACGCCUGUAACCAAGUGCAUGUAAUCUGAGGAAUUUCGGUAUGUUGUUGGUUGUUUCAACCCAUCGCCUUCUCUACCGGUCGAAUUUCUUUUCAUCGGCCACAUGUUUCACAGUUUAUGCUUCCACGUUUUCUCCACCGUCUUUCCUCUUAUCCUCUGCUUCACCAACAAAUCAAAACCCAAAACAAUCUCAAUAACCAUCCAAACACAUCACCAUUCGGACCAAAACAAUCUCAAUUAUCCUUCAAAAAUCAAAAUAAUCAGCGAGCGAACCCCAUAAUUCGAAAUCGAAAUCGAAAGAGGAGCAGGAACCAAACGAAAUUCAACGUGCGUUCUUCAAAUAUUUCUAAAUUUCCUGACAAGUCAGGUAUGUAAUCGCUAAGGAUUUCCAAUUGCAUAAAAAAACAUUGAUGGCAACUAUCGGUUGGUAUUGACCAGAACAUACAUCACUCUCUUUGAACCCUCAAUUCCGUGUGGGCGUUUCCUUCAAAUUCUUAUAUAUGUUUGUGUUUUAUGUAGUUUUAAUAUAAGUUUUCCAUUGUUUUUGCCCUUUACGUUCGAGGUAUAGAAGGAUAUCAUAAAUAGUGGUAUCGUUGGUGGUGGAAUUAAAAAAAAUUGAUUUGCACACCAACUUUUUGUUCAUAUGUCUCAAUGAACUUCAGUUACUUGAUUUCAAAACUGGUUGCUUACUCCAACGUAACUUUCUUUCAAAUCAUAGUGUCUUCCAUGAAAUUCAGUCAUCACUUCAAAUAUCUUAACAUCUUUCCUAUUUUUUCUAUUUUAUCUUACAGUGUUCUCGGAAAACAUCUUGAUUCUCUCCAAUGAGUCUAAUAUGCACUACACAACCUUUCUUUUUUUGUUUUGUAUGAAUUCAGGUGUGUGAAAUGUGAAUCUUUUAACUUGAUUGAGUUUUUGAUGGAUUUCUUCAUGUUUCUUUUGUUUGUUGCUGUAAGUUAGAUCAUUGCAACAAGUCCCAUGACUUAAAUGUUUGUAAAUAGCAAUUAAGGAUUACUCAAUUGGUUCAUGUCAGUUCUAAUCUACCCUUUGUCACAGGUGUUAUAUUCCUUUUUAUAUUUUCAUCCAUGCCAUAGGAGAGGUUGAAUGGUUUAGUCAUGUUUCCAUUAGUUUCUCUUAAUUCCUUUUGUUUUUACGUUAUAAAUUAUUAUAUUUUAUAGAAUUAAUGGUAACUUUUAAAUUGUUCAUAUUUUUGGUUUUGAAACUGUAGGAUGAUUGCAGGCAUCUAAGGCAAAGUAUAAAGUAUGCAUGGUAGCAGUGUAUUGUAAGUGUUGUUGAACUGCACCAAAUAACAACAUACUUUUCAGUUUUACCAUUUUUUUUAUUUUAUGUUGUUAAACAAGUUAAUAAACAAAUGCAAGAAAUAAUUGGUAAUGUUUCAGUAUGCAUGUGUAGCUUAUGUUCAACACUGGUAACUUGCCUUUCU